This 231-nucleotide ribosomal RNA is filed under the name uncultured bacterium. Its description in RNAcentral is "partial 16S ribosomal RNA". It matches the Rfam family "Bacterial small subunit ribosomal RNA", at positions 16 to 236 of the family's 1533-position model. The record is from RNAcentral.
GUCCUGGCUCAGGAUGAACGCUAGCUACAGGCUUAACACAUGCAAGUCGAGGGGGCAGCAUGGUCUUAGCUUGCUAAGGCUGAUGGCGACCGGCGCACGGGUGAGUAACACGUAUCCAACCUGCCGUCUACUCUGGCCAGCCUUCUGAAAGGAAGAUUAAUCCAGGAUGGGAUCAUGAGUUCACAUGUCCGCAUGAUUAAAGGUAUUUUCCGGUAGACGAUGGGGAUGCCG